RNAcentral lists this ribosomal RNA (2931 nucleotides) under Pectobacterium punjabense. RNAcentral describes it as "23S ribosomal RNA". It matches the Rfam family "Bacterial large subunit ribosomal RNA". Lineage: Bacteria; Pseudomonadati; Pseudomonadota; Gammaproteobacteria; Enterobacterales; Pectobacteriaceae. The record is from RNAcentral.
GGGUUGUGAGGUUAAGCGACUAAGCGUACACGGUGGAUGCCUAGGCAGUCAGAGGCGAUGAAGGGCGUGCUAAUCUGCGAUAAGCGUCGGUAAGCUGAUAUGAAGCGUUAUACCCGACGAUACCCGAAUGGGGAAACCCAGUGUGUUUCGACACACUAUCAUUAUGUGAAUACAUAGCGUAAUGAGGCGAACCGGGGGAACUGAAACAUCUCAGUACCCCGAGGAAAAGAAAUCAACCGAGAUUCCCCUAGUAGCGGCGAGCGAACGGGGAGGAGCCCAGAACCUGAAUCAGUUUGUGUGUUAGUGGAAGCGUCUGGAAAGUCGCACAGUAAAGGGUGAUAGUCCCGUACACAAAAAUGCACAAGUUGUGAGUUCGAUGAGUAGGGCGGGACACGUGACAUCCUGUCUGAAUAUGGGGGGACCAUCCUCCAAGGCUAAAUACUCCUGACUGACCGAUAGUGAACCAGUACCGUGAGGGAAAGGCGAAAAGAACCCCGGCGAGGGGAGUGAAAUAGAACCUGAAACCGUGUACGUACAAGCAGUGGGAGCCUACUUGUUAGGUGACUGCGUACCUUUUGUAUAAUGGGUCAGCGACUUAUAUUCUGUAGCAAGGUUAACCGAAUAGGGGAGCCGCAGGGAAACCGAGUCUUAACUGGGCGUUAAGUUGCAGGGUAUAGACCCGAAACCCGGUGAUUCAGCCAUGGGCAGGUUGAAGGUUGGGUAACACUAACUGGAGGACCGAACCGACUAAUGUUGAAAAAUUAGCGGAUGACUUGUGGCUGGGGGUGAAAGGCCAAUCAAACCGGGAGAUAGCUGGUUCUCCCCGAAAGCUAUUUAGGUAGCGCCUCGUGAAUUCAUCUUCGGGGGUAGAGCACUGUUUCGGCUAGGGGGUCAUCCCGACUUACCAACCCGAUGCAAACUACGAAUACCGAAGAAUGUUAUCACGGGAGACACACGGCGGGUGCUAACGUUCGUCGUGAAGAGGGAAACAACCCAGACCGCCAGCUAAGGUCCCAAAGUCAUGGUUAAGUGGGAAACGAUGUGGGAAGGCAUAGACAGCCAGGAUGUUGGCUUAGAAGCAGCCAUCAUUUAAAGAAAGCGUAAUAGCUCACUGGUCGAGUCGGCCUGCGCGGAAGAUGUAACGGGGCUAAACCAUGCACCGAAGCUGCGGCAGCGACGCUUAGGCGUUGUUGGGUAGGGGAGCGUUCUGUAAGCCGUUGAAGGUGGCCUGUGAGGGUUGCUGGAGGUAUCAGAAGUGCGAAUGCUGACAUAAGUAACGAUAAUGCGGGUGAAAAACCCGCACGCCGGAAGACCAAGGGUUCCUGUCCAACGUUAAUCGGGGCAGGGUGAGUCGACCCCUAAGGCGAGGCUGAAAAGCGUAGUCGAUGGGAAACAGGUUAAUAUUCCUGUACUCGGUGUUACUGCGAAGGGGGGACGGAGAAAGCUAGGUUAUCCGGGCGACGGUUGUCCCGGUUUAAGCGUGAAGGUGGAUGACUUUGGUAAAUCCGGGUCAUCGUUAACACUGAGGCGUGAUGACGAGUCACUACGGUGAUGAAGUAACCGAUGCUACGCUUCCAGGAAAAGCCUCUAAGCUCCAGGUAACAUCAAAUCGUACCCCAAACCGACACAGGUGGUCAGGUAGAGAAUACUCAGGCGCUUGAGAGAACUCGGGUGAAGGAACUAGGCAAAAUGGUGCCGUAACUUCGGGAGAAGGCACGCUGAUGGUAGGUGAAGUGACUUGCUCAUGGAGCUGAAAUCAGUCGAAGAUACCAGCUGGCUGCAACUGUUUAAUAAAAACACAGCACUGUGCAAACACGAAAGUGGACGUAUACGGUGUGACGCCUGCCCGGUGCCGGAAGGUUAAUUGAUGGGGUCAGCCGCAAGGCGAAGCUCUUGAUCGAAGCCCCGGUAAACGGCGGCCGUAACUAUAACGGUCCUAAGGUAGCGAAAUUCCUUGUCGGGUAAGUUCCGACCUGCACGAAUGGCGUAAUGAUGGCCAGGCUGUCUCCACCCGAGACUCAGUGAAAUUGAACUCGCUGUGAAGAUGCAGUGUACCCGCGGCAAGACGGAAAGACCCCGUGAACCUUUACUAUAGCUUGACACUGAACCUUGAGCCUUGAUGUGUAGGAUAGGUGGGAGGCUUUGAAGCGUGGACGCCAGUCUGCGUGGAGCCAACCUUGAAAUACCACCCUUUAAUGUUUGAUGUUCUAACGUGGACCCGUAAUCCGGGUUGCGGACAGUGUCUGGUGGGUAGUUUGACUGGGGCGGUCUCCUCCCAAAGCGUAACGGAGGAGCACGAAGGUUAGCUAAUCCUGGUCGGACAUCAGGAGGUUAGUGCAAAGGCAUAAGCUAGCUUGACUGCGAGUGACAGCUCGAGCAGGUGCGAAAGCAGGUCUUAGUGAUCCGGUGGUUCUGAAUGGAAGGGCCAUCGCUCAACGGAUAAAAGGUACCCGGGGAUAACAGGCUGAUACCGCCCAAGAGUUCAUAUCGACGGCGGUGUUUGGCACCUCGAUGUCGGCUCAUCACAUCCUGGGGCUGAAGUAGGUCCCAAGGGUAUGGCUGUUCGCCAUUUAAAGUGGUACGCGAGCUGGGUUUAGAACGUCGUGAGACAGUUCGGUCCCUAUCUGCCGUGGGCGUUGGAAGAUUGAGAGGGGUUGCUCCUAGUACGAGAGGACCGGAGUGAACGCACCACUGGUGUACGGGUUGUGAUGCCAAUUGCAUUGCCCGGUAGCUAAGUGCGGAAGAGAUAACCGCUGAAAGCAUCUAAGCGGGAAACUUGCCUCGAGAUGAGUCUUCCCUGGGCACUUGAUGCCCCUGAAGGGCCGUUGAAGACGACGACGUAGAUAGGCUGGGUGUGUAAGCGUAGCGAUACGUUGAGCUGACCAGUACUAAUGACCCGAGAGGCUUAACCUUACAACACCGAAGGUGUUU